GAGGCACCGAUCACUGCUCCGUCGUCACCUGCGAGGCCCACCUUGGCCACAGGCUCUGGAGGCCAGUGCCU
Cavia porcellus (domestic guinea pig) is the source of this 71-nucleotide non-coding RNA. The record is from Rfam. Lineage: Eukaryota; Metazoa; Chordata; Mammalia; Rodentia; Caviidae.